Non-coding RNA from Podarcis lilfordi (Lilford's wall lizard), 78 nucleotides. The record is from the annotation of a GenBank genome assembly. Lineage: Eukaryota; Metazoa; Chordata; Lepidosauria; Squamata; Lacertidae.
GUGCCCUAGCCCAGUGGUUAGCGCAUCCCUUUGGCAUGCAGAAGGGCCCGGGUUCAAUCCCCGCCGCUCCAGGUAACG